Molecule: ribosomal RNA, 389 nt
Filed under: uncultured Sphingobacteriales bacterium
Lineage: Bacteria; Pseudomonadati; Bacteroidota; Sphingobacteriia; Sphingobacteriales
Description: bacterial SSU rRNA
Rfam family: Bacterial small subunit ribosomal RNA
Source: RNAcentral
UGACUGUAGGUGAAAGCUUACAUCUCUUCGGAGCAUUUUACGAGGUGCUGCAUGGUUGUCGUCAGCUCGUGCCGUGAGGUGUCGGGUUAAGUCCCAUAACGAGCGCAACCCCUACCUUUAGUUGCCAUCAGGUUAAGCUGGGGACUCUAAAGGAACUGCCUACGCAAGUAGUGAGGAAGGCGGGGAUGACGUCAAAUCAGCACGGCCCUUACGUCCAGGGCUACACACGUGCUACAAUGGCCGAUACAGAGGGCAGCUACCUGGUGACAGGAUGCAAAUCUCCAAAGUCGGUCUCAGUUCGGAUCGGAGUCUGCAACCUGACUCCGUGAAGUUGGAUUCGCUAGUAAUCGCGCAUCAGCCAUGGCGCGGUGAAUACGUUCCCGGGCCUU